RNAcentral lists this ribosomal RNA (254 nucleotides) under uncultured bacterium. RNAcentral describes it as "partial 16S ribosomal RNA". It matches the Rfam family "Bacterial small subunit ribosomal RNA", at positions 524 to 776 of the family's 1533-position model. The record is from RNAcentral.
GACAGAGGAUGCGAACGUUGCUCGGAAUUACUGGGCGUAAAGCGCGUGUAGGCGGUUUUGUAAGUCGGGUGUGAAAGCCCGGGGCUCAACCCCGGAAGAGCAUUCGAUACUGCGGAACUUAGGGUCCUGAAGAGGAGAGCGGAAUUCCCGGUGUAGAGGUGAAAUUCGUAGAUAUCGGGAGGAACACCAGUGGCGAAGGCGGCUCUCUGGGCAGGUACCGACGCUGAGACGCGAAAGCGUGGGAAGCAAACAGG